GUAUCUCAAGCGUCUGUGCUACUCUUAUCCACAAUGUUGAAAUUCCGUCUGUGUUUUUGGUCACUUUCAGUAAACUUUUCUUUGCUUUUUGUUGGUAGGCGAUUCUGUUUAAAAGAUUAAAAUAUGGUUUCAAAAGACCGUAAGAAACCUACUGGAUCUCCAAAAGUACAAGUUGGGGAGAUAGAUACAAGUGCACCAUUUCAGUCUGUCAAAGAUGCUGUUAACUUGUUUGGGGAAGGUGCAUUCUCAGGGGAAAAACCUGCAAUCAGGAAGCCAAGACCUCAGUCCGCAGAGGUAAAUAAUACUGUGGUUCAAAAUGUAUAUCGUUAUCCUGAAUGGAGAAGCUUGGUGUUUUUAUUAUGACAUUUUUUAUUUUUUUUUGAUAAAAGUUAAAGUUGUAUUCUUCAGCAUUAAGGGUAUGCUGGCUACCUCCAAAAAGUUACAAGCUGACACCAUAAUUACAUAGAUCCUAGGAAAUCUACCAACUGUUCUACUUCUUCUAUACCAUCUUCUUUACACCAAAAAAACAACAUGUUAAUGCAAUUUUCUUUAACUUUCUGAAUAGAGUUAGUAAUAUUCUCAUGACACCUAAGGUUUCUUUCUCUCCAAAUAGCCCACCAGACACAAGUAGGUACUAUAGACCACCAUCUUUUUUGGGUCUUGCUCCCCCCCCCCUCCUCAUCCAGCAGCUCAAGAGAUCAGCAGUGUUUUUAUUAUGACAUUUUAUCUGCAUUGUUUGUGUUAAACAUUCGUUUUAUGAUUAAGAUUGAAUUAAUACCUUAUUGAGCUUUCUUCUCCCUCUCCUAUUUCCAAGAUCGAAACAAAGAAAAGUUGGAGAAUGGACAUCUAAGCAAAGUUUCCUUUUGUCUAACAAAUACUUGUAAUUUGUCUUUUACAUCAAGUAAGUCAUGUUGUCAUAGAAAUUUGUGCGUGCAUGCAUCUCCAUCUAUUCAUCGAACUUUUUUCUGGUGUAUGUGUCUUUGAAGCAUCUUCUUUCUUUGAUUAUUCAAAUGUUUUCACAUGGUGUUUAAUGACUUCGAAGUGUUCAUAAUUAUUUGGUGCUUCAUUUUAUAGUUUCAGAACUUUUUCACUAAAUGGUAAAUACGCUCAUACUUGAGUCUUUUGAGUACUGAAUGUAACAUGUAAUCAGGUGCUCUCAGGAGUGCAUGAAUGCAAAAGUAUUUACACCUAAGGAUUGGUUAGUGUUCUGAGACAGCAAUAAAAUAGCCUCACCUAAGUACCCUUAUCUUGUCUUGAUUUCAGAGGGUACUGGCAAAGGAAACACAGCUUCACUUAGCCCAGAAAGAGCUGAACAAGUUGAAGGAACAGUUGAAAAAUGCAGAAACCACUAGAGCCCAAGCACUUAC
This 1367-nucleotide long non-coding RNA is filed under the name Solanum tuberosum (potato). Its description in RNAcentral is "long non-coding RNA (STUB_LNC007776)". Lineage: Eukaryota; Viridiplantae; Streptophyta; Magnoliopsida; Solanales; Solanaceae. The record is from RNAcentral.